CAGCAGCCACGGGAAUACAGAGGGUGCAAGCGUUAAUCGGAAUUACUGGGCGUAAAGCGCGCGUAGGUGGUUUGUUAAGUUGGAUGUGAAAGCCCCGGGCUCAACCUGGGAACUGCAUCCAAAACUGGCAAGCUAGAGUACGGUAGAGGGUGGUGGAAUUUCCUGUGUAGCGGUGAAAUGCGUAGAUAUAGGAAGGAACACCAGUGGCGAAGGCGACCACCUGGACUGAUACUGACACUGAGGUGCGAAAGCGUGGGGAUCAAACAGGAUUAGAGACCCCUGUAGUCCCUGUCUCUUAUAC
This 301-nucleotide ribosomal RNA is filed under the name uncultured bacterium. RNAcentral describes it as "partial 16S ribosomal RNA". It matches the Rfam family "Bacterial small subunit ribosomal RNA", at positions 509 to 807 of the family's 1533-position model. The record is from RNAcentral.